UUUCCGUAGGUGAACCUGCGGAAGGAUCAUUACUGUAUAACCGAGGUGCCAGGGCCGUCGCUGACCCGCCCGGAAGCACACGCCCCGGCGCCCCCCCACAGACCCCUCCCACCCCUAUGUGCACCCCGGCGCCGCCCCCCCUCUUGCUUUUUCGGAGGUGGCCUUACGUUUUCACAUACAUUUUGUAGGCAGUGUAUUAUGUAUUUUUUGUCUUUGUGAUCACGCAAUCAAUACAACUUUCAACAACGGAUCUCUUGGCUCUCGCAUCCAUGCAGAACG
Molecule: unclassified non-coding RNA, 279 nt
Filed under: plant metagenome
Description: partial contains small subunit ribosomal RNA, internal transcribed spacer 1, and 5.8S ribosomal RNA
Source: RNAcentral